RNAcentral lists this long non-coding RNA (4967 nucleotides) under Cricetulus griseus (Chinese hamster). RNAcentral's name for it is "lncRNA (ENSCGRG00015040757.1)". Lineage: Eukaryota; Metazoa; Chordata; Mammalia; Rodentia; Cricetidae. The record is from RNAcentral.
UCAGUCCAUGUGUUAGUAGUGUAUGUGUGUGGUGUGUGUGUUUGACAUGUGUAGUGUAGUGUAUGUGUGUGGUGUGUGUGUGCAGUGUGUUUGUGAAUUGUAUGUAUGCGGUGUGUGUGUGCGGUGCAGUGUGUGGGGGGGUGUUUUUGUAGAAUACGUGUGUGCAGUGCAGGUUUUUGUAGUGUACGUGUGUAGUGUUUGUGUUUGGUGUGUGUGUGUGGUGUGUUUGUGUUUGCUGGAUGUGUGUUGUAUAUGUGUGUGGUGUGUGUGUGCAGUGUGUGUGUGCGGUGAGUGUAGUGUAGUGUAUUUGUGUGUAGUGUCGCGGUGUAUGAAUUUGUAGUGUAUGUGUGUGUUGUUUGGUUUGGGAAGUUUGUGUUUACUGUAUGUGUGUGGUGUGUGUGUAGUGUAUGUUUGUUGCGUAUGUUUGUGGUGUAUGUGUGCGGUGUGUGUGUGUGAGGUAAGCGUGUUUGUAUUGUGUCUGUGCAGUCGAUGUGUUAGUAAUUUAUGUGUGUGGUGUGUGUGUUUGAAGUGUGUAGUAUAGUGUAUGUGUGUGGUGUGUGUGUGCAGUGUGCUUGUGUAUUGUAUGUAUGCGGUGUGUGUGUGCAGUGUAUGUGUUUGUAGUGUAUGUUUGUUGUGUAUGUGUACAGUGUGUUGUGUGUAUUUGGUGAGUUUGUGUUUCCUGUUUCUGUGGUGUAUUUUGUAGUGUAUGUUUGUUUUGUAUGUGUGCAGUGUGCAGAGUGUUUGUGUGCGUUUUGUGCGUGUUUUUAUUGUAUGUGUGCAGUCCAUGUGAUGGUAUUGUUUGUGUGUGGUGUAUGUGUUUGACGUGUGUAGUGCAGUGUAUGUGUAUGGUGUGUGUGUGCAGUGUUUCUAUAUUGUAUGUAAGCAGUGGGUAUGUGCGUUGUGUGUGUGCGGUGAGUGUGUGCCAUGUGUGUUUUUAGUGUGUGUGGGUGCGGUGUAGGUUUUUGUAGAGUAUUGUGUAGUGUGUGUGUGUGUAGUGUAUGUCUAUAGUGUAUGUUUGUGGUGUAUUUGUGUGGUGUGUGUGUGUUUUGUGAAUGUAUGCGGUGUGUGUGUAUUUGCGGUGUGUGUGUUUGUAUUGUGUGUGUGCUGACCAUGUAUUAGUAGUGUAGGUGUGUGGUGUGUGUGUUUGACAUGGAUAGUGUAGUGUAUUUGCGUGGUGUGUGUGUGCAGUUGUUUCUGAAUUGUAUGUAUGCGGUGUUUGUGAGCGGUGUGUGUGUUCAGUGUGUGUCUGCGGGGUGUCUUUGUAGCAUGUUUGUGUGCUGUAGUGUGUCUGUUUGGUGUGUUUGCGUUUGCUGGAUGUGUGUAGUGUAUGUGUGUGGUGUGUGUGUGUGCAGUGUGUGUAGUGUAUUGUAUGUGUGUGGUGUGUGUGCGGUGUAUGUGUUUGUAGUGUAUGUGUGUGUUGUUUGCGUUUGGUGAGUUUGUGUUUACUGUAUGUGUGUGGAGUGUGUGUAGUUUAUGUUUGUUGUGUAUGUUUGUGGUGUAUGUGUGCAGUGUGUGUGUGUUUUGUCUGUAUGCGGUUUGUGUGUGAGGUAUGCGUGUUUGUAUUGUGUCUGUGUAGUCCAUGUACUGGUAGUGUAUGUUUGUGGUGUGUGUUUGACAUGUGUACUCUGGUGUACGUGUGUGCUGUGUGUUUGCAUUGUGAUUGUGAAUUGUAUGUAUGCGGUGUGUCUAUGUGGUGCAGUGUGUCUGGGGUGUGUGUGUUUGUAGUAUAUGUGUGUGCGGUGUAGGAUUUGUAGUGUAUUCUGUAGUGUGUGUGUUUGGUGUGUUUGUGGUUACUGUAUGUGUGUGGUGUGUGUGUUUGGUGUGUUUGUGUUUGCUGGAUGUGUGUGGUGUAUGUGUGGUGUGUGUGCGGUGUGUGUCUGCGGUGUGUGUAGUGUGGUGUAUGUGUGUGGUGUGUGUGCGGUGUAUGUGUUUGUAGUGUAUGUGUGUGUUGUUUGUGUUUGGUGAGUUUGUGAUUACUGUAUGUGUGUGAUAUUUGUGUAUAUGUUUGUUGUGUAUGUUUGUGGUGUAUGUGUGUGGUGUGUGUUGGGGGUGUAUGUGUGCAGUGUCUUUGUGGAGUGAAUGUAUGCGGUGUGGGUGUGCAGUAUGUGUGUGUGCGGUGUAGAUGUUUGUAGUGUGCGUGUGCAGUGUGUGUAGUGUGGUGUAUGUGUGUGGUGUGUGUGCGGUGUAUGUGUUUGUAGUGUAUAUAUGUGUUGUUUGUGUUUGGUGAGUUUGUGUUUACUGUAUGUGUGUGGUAUUUGUGUAGUGUAUGUUUGUUGUCUAUGUUUGUGGUGUAUGUGUGUGGUGUGUGUGUAUGACGUGUGUAGUAUAGUGUAUGUGUGUAGUGUGUGUGUGCAGUGUUCUUGUGUAUUGUAUGUAUGCGGUGUUUGUGUGCAGUGUGUGUGCGGUGUGUGUGAUUGUAGUAUGUGUGUGCACGGUGUAUGUGCUUGUACUGUAUGUGUGUCUUGUGUUUGGUGUGUUUGUUUUUAUUGUAUGUGUGUGGUGUGUGUGGUGUAUGUGUGGGGUGUAUGUGUGCAGUGUGUUUGUGGAGUGAAUGUAUGCGGUGUGGGUGUGCGGUAUGUGUGGGCGGUGUAGAUGUUAGUAGUGUGCAUGUGCGGUGUAUGUGUUUAUAGUGUAUGUGUGAGUUGUGUGUUUGGUGUGUUUGUCUCUAUGUGUGCUGUGUGUGUGUUUGGUGUGUGGGUUUGGUGUGUGUAAUAUAGUGUAUGUGUGUGGUGUGUAUGUGUGUAGUGUGUGUGGUGUAUGUGUGCAGUGCGUUUGUGUAGUUUCUGUAUGCUGUGUGUGUUUGAGGCUUGUGUGUGCGGUGUGUAUGUUUGUAGUGUGUUGUGCAUUGUAUAUGUGUAUAGUAUACGUGUGUAUGUAUGUAUGUAUGCGUUAAGUGUGUGUGCGAUGUGCGUGUUUGUAUUGUGUGUGUGUGUGUAGUCAAUGUAUCCGGUGUGUGUGUGGGGGUAUCUGUUUGUGGUGUGUAUAUUUGUACUGUGUGUGUGUGAUUUCUAUGUUUAUACUGUGUGUGGUAUGUGUGGUGUGUUUGGUUUUAUAGUAUGUGUGAGGGUGUGUAUGUGUGCUGUGUUUUUGCAGUGUAUGUGUUUGUUGUUGUAUGUGUGUUGUGUGUUAUUUGGUAUGUGUGUGUAAUGUGUGUGUGUUGUGUGUGUUUGGUGUGUGUAGUGUAAUGAAUAUGUGUGGUGUGUGUGGUGUAUGUGUUUGUAGUGUAUAUGUGUGUUGUGUGUGUUUGGUGAGUUUGAGUUUACUCUAUGUGUGUGAGGAGUGUCUUUUUGUAGUGUAUGUUUGUGGUGUAUGUGUGAGGUGUAUGUGUUUGUUGUAUGUGUGUGGUGUGUUAUUUGUUAUGUGUGUGUAGCGUGUGUGUUUUUUGUGUGUUUGGUGUGUUUGUCUCUAGGUGUGCUGUGUGUGUGUGUGGUGUGUGGGUUGGUGUGUGUAAUAUAGUGUAUGUGUGUGGUGUGUAUGUGUGUAGUGUGUGUGGUGUAUGUGUGCAGUGCGUUUGUGUAGAUUCUGUAUGCUGUGUGUGUUUGAGGCUUGUGUGUGCGGUGUGUAUGUUUGUAGUGUGUUGUGCGUUGUAUAUGUGACAUGUGCAGUGUAGUGUAUUUGCGUGGUGUGUGUGUGCAGUUGUUUCUGAAUUGUAUGUAUGCAGUGUUUGUGAGCGGUGUGUGUGUGCAGUGUGUGUCUGCGGGGUUUGUUUGUAGCAGGUUUGUGCGCUGUAGGAUUUUGUAUUGUAUGUGUGUAGUGUGUGUGUUUGGUGUGUUUGUGUUGGCUGGAUGUGUGUAGUGUAUGUGUGUGGUGUGUGUGUGCAGUGUGUGUGUGCGGUGUGUGUAGUGUAGUGUAUGUGUGUGGUGUGUGUGCCGUGUAUGUGUUUGUAGUGUAUGUGUGUGUUGUUUGCGUUUGGUGAGUUUGUGUUUACUGUAUGUGUGUGAUGUGUGUGUAGUGUAUGCUUGUUGUGUAUGUUUGUUGUGUAUGUGUGCGGUGUGUGUGUGUUUUGUAUGUAUGCGGUAUGUGUGUGAGGUAUGCGUGUUUGUAUUGUGUCUGUGCAGUCCAUGUGUUAGUAGUGUAUGCUUGUGUUGUGUGUGUUUCACAUGUGAACUGUAGUGUAUGCAUGUGCUGUGUGUGCAUUGUGAUUGUGAAUUGUAUGUAUGCGGUUUGUCUGUGCGGUGCAGUGUGUGUGGGGUGUGUGUGUUUGUAGUAUAUGUUUGUACGUUGUAGGUUUUUGUAGUGUAUGGGUGUAGUGUGUGUGUUUGGUGUGUUUGUGGUUACUGUAUGUGUAUGGUUUGUGUGUUUGGUUAGUUUGUGUUUACUGUAUGUGUGUGUAGUGUAUUUUUGUAGUGUAUGUUUGUUGUGUAUGUGUGCAGUGUGUGUGUGUAAUGUAUGUAUGCGUAGUGUUUGUUUGCGUUGUGCUUGUUUGUAUUGUAUUUGUGCAGUCAUGUGAUGGUAUUGUAUAUGUGGGGUGUGUGUGUUUGACGUGUCUCGUGUAGUGUAUAUGUAUGGUGUGUGUGUGCAGCAGUGUGUUUCUGUAUUGUAUGUAUGCGGUGUGUAUGUGCGGUGUGUGUGUGUGGUUUGUGUUUGCGAUGUGUGUUUUUAGUGUGUGUGUGUGUGCGGUGUACGUUUUUGUAAAGUAUGUGUGUAGUGUGUGUUUGUAGUGUAUGUUAGUGUGUAUUUGGGCGGUGUGUGUGUGAAGUGUGUUUUAGAAUUGUUAGUAGUGUAGGUGUGUGGUAUGUGUGUUUGACAUGUGCAGUGUAGUGUAUUUGCGUGGUGUGUGUGUUCAGUUGUUUCUGAAUUGUAUGUAUGCGGUGUUUGUUAGCGGUGUGUGUGUGCAGUGUGUGUCUGCGGGAUGUGUUUGUAGCAUGUUUGUGCGCUGUAGGUUUUUGUAUUGUAUGUGUGUAGUGUGUGUGUUUGGUGUGUUUGUGUUUGCUGGAUGUGUGUAGUGUAUGUGUGUGGUGUAUGUG